This 432-nucleotide ribosomal RNA is filed under the name uncultured bacterium. Its description in RNAcentral is "partial 16S ribosomal RNA". It matches the Rfam family "Bacterial small subunit ribosomal RNA", at positions 29 to 507 of the family's 1533-position model. The record is from RNAcentral.
AACGAACGCUGGCGGCAUGCCUAACACAUGCAAGUCGAACGAGACCUUCGGGUCUAGUGGCGCACGGGUGCGUAACGCGUGGGAACCUGCCCUUAGGUUCGGAAUAACUCCCCGAAAGGGGUGCUAAUACCGGAUAAUGUCUUCGGACCAAAGAUUUAUCGCCUUUGGAUGGGCCCGCGUUGGAUUAGCUAGUUGGUAGGGUAAAAGCCUACCAAGGCGACGAUCCAUAGCUGGUCUGAGAGGAUGAUCAGCCACACUGGGACUGAGACACGGCCCAGACUCCUACGGAAGGCGGCGGUGGGAAUAUUGGACAAUGGGCGAAAGCCUGAUCCAGCAAUGCCGCGUGAGUGAUGAAGGCCUUAGGGUUGUAAAGCUCUUUUACCCGGGAUGAUAAUGACAGUACCGGGAGAAUAAGCGCCGGCUAACUCCGUG